CCUACGGGAGGCAGCAGUGAGGAAUAUUGGUCAAUUGGCGCAAGCCUGAACGAGCGAUGCCGCGUGAGUGAAGAAGGCCUUCGGGUCGUAAAGCUCUGUUGCGGGGGAAAAAAGGCAGCAUCAGGAAAUGGGUGCUGACUGAUGGUGCGCCGCCAGAAAGUCACGGCUAACUACGUGCCAGCAGCCGCGGUAAUACGUAGGUGGCGAGCGUUAUCCGGAAUGGUUGGGCGUAAAGGGUGCGCAGGCGGUCCUGCAAGUCUGGAGUGAAACGCAUGAGCUCAACCAAUGCAGUGCUUUGGAAACUGGAGGACUGGAGAGUAGGAGAGGGCGGUGGAACUCCAGGUGUAGCGGUAAAAUGCGUAGAUAUAUGGAAGAACCCCAGUGGCGAAGGCGGCCGCCUGGCCUGUUGCUGACGCUGAGGCACGAAAGCGUGGGGAGCAAAUAGGAUUAGAUACCCUAGUAGUC
This 465-nucleotide ribosomal RNA is filed under the name uncultured bacterium. RNAcentral describes it as "partial 16S ribosomal RNA". It matches the Rfam family "Bacterial small subunit ribosomal RNA", at positions 338 to 795 of the family's 1533-position model. The record is from RNAcentral.